GACGCUCUGACAUGGCCUUCAAAAUACUGGGAGUCACUGAUGGAGAGAGAAAGUAAAAAACAAUUUGCUACAGUGGAAUGAAUGGUACUACAGAUGUCAGUGACAUGUAGACUUACUGUGAAAUAAUGAAAGUUACCUUACAGCAUCAGUGAAAUAACUAAAAAAGUAAUUCCAGUGGAAAUAACAAUAAUUGCAUAACUGAAAGUGAUGCCAGCAAUUUAUUUCCUGGUAACUGGGUGCAGUCACUGAAAUGAGUUACACUAGUCACACAUGGAGGGCACGACUGCCUGUAAACACUCUACUCAGAUUGUGACCAUUGAGAGUCCACAUUGCCUUGUAGGACUCCACAAAGCGGUCAACUGUAGACUUUGAGUUCAGCCCUAGGCUUUCUAACUGAGUGUGCAGAACCUGGAGUGGACACAGAAAGAGAGAGAAGCCAUUGUGGAACAUCAGGGGACAAAAGACUUUGUUGAUUGCUCCUCCUACACCC
Mauremys mutica (yellowpond turtle) is the source of this 490-nucleotide long non-coding RNA. RefSeq lists it as uncharacterized. NCBI's taxonomy places the organism in Eukaryota, Metazoa, Chordata, Testudines, Geoemydidae. The record is from RefSeq and is a predicted model, not a curated record. The transcript has 3 exons.